Molecule: long non-coding RNA, 1049 nt
Organism: Aquila chrysaetos chrysaetos
Lineage: Eukaryota; Metazoa; Chordata; Aves; Accipitriformes; Accipitridae
Exons: 3
Source: RefSeq, a predicted model, not a curated record
CUCUGGAGGUCAUCUGAUCCAGCCCCCCUGCUCAAGCAAGGCCACCUCCGUCAGGUUGCCCAGGACCAUGGCCAGACAGCUUUUGAAUAUCUCCAGGGAUGGAGACUCCCAACAACCUCCCUGGGCAACCUGUGCCAGUGCUCAGCCACCCUCAUAGUAAAAAAGUGUUUUCUGAGCCUCCUGUGUUCCAGUUUGUGCCCAUUGCCUGUCACUGGGCACCACUGAAAAGAGCCUGUCUCCGUCAUCUUUAUACCCUCCCUUCAGAUUUGUAACUAUUGAUGAGAUUCCCCCCCUCAGCCUUCCCUUAACAGGGAUGAAGUACUAAAGGAGGGCUGAAAUAGGCCAAGCUGCCUAGUCAGGGGCUAAGGUGACAUAUCUACUCAGCAAAAACCUCUGGUGCUGUUCUUGCUGCUGUUGAAUGAUUACAACACUUCCUGAGACUUGGUUUUUCUCAGGCAAACAUGUAAAUGUUGCACUUAAUGACUGUGUCUUGGGUGUUUGUUGGAGCCUGGAUGCUCUUCCAGCCAGAGCUUACCUAGCCUGAGAGCUUUUCAAAACACCCUGCAAAAACACCUGAAAAAGUCAGUGAAGACUUAUUUAGACAUCCUGGAUCACUCAACAGCCUACUGUUACUUUAUGCCUUGUGCCAGAUUCAAUAUCCAGACUGGACAAAAGUAUCUUAGGCUUGAGUGUAGUCAUGAAAAGCAGCCUGUAAGUAUGUUGGUGAUUGCUAGUUCCUAUUGCAUAUUUUGCAUCUUUCCUGAAAUGAGCCCCUAUCUCUUGUUUGCAGAGCUCACGUAGGGUCUUCAGUCCCCAGAAGAGACCAGCUGGGUUACAUGUUAGUUGCUUUACCUCUCAACAAGCAUUCAGAGGGGUGAGGAAGAGGAAGGAAAGCAGAGGGAGUGAAGGGCUGCCGCUCUACCAGAAGGGUGGGAGAGAAUCAAAUUCUUGUGGGUACUUCUUUGCACACAGACUUAUUUCCUGAUACGGAGAAUCACAAACAUGACCUUGAAUUCCCUGUAAGGUGUUUUCCAACUGUUGGUUAGCUU